UGGAGAGUGAAGCUCAGGCAGCCCGCAUCGGCAUGGCGUGGUGGUGCCCUUGUCCAAGGCGGAACUGCGCUGGUGAUCUGGUGCUCCGGAUUGGAUUAGAUCAGUGACGGUGACGAGCAAAAGCGGGAUCUUUCCCGGCGGCUCACGCGGUUGGGCGAAGUGGGGUGGCGGCCCUCCUCCUAGGCUCCAGUGGUGGUGCACUCCGGUAGUGGCCGGUGCGCCAGGGCUCCCGCGGCGGCAGUGUUGUUGUGGGUGGUCGCCGGAUCUGGGCGGCCUGAUCUGGGGCUUUCAAGGUGGUCUGGCCGGUGCACAAGAUAUCGGUUGGAUUCUCGUGGGACAGAUCCAGGUGAAAACCGUCUUCGGCUGGUGGCCGGAGCCGGUGAUGGAGACGCCCCGUGCGCCGUUUCCUUCUUGAAGGCAUCAUCGAGGUGAAGCUCCCACCUCAUUCCGCUACCUUCGGGGGAAACCCUUGAUCAGUCGAUCGAAUGAUGGCGGUGCUUAAGUGUCGUUCCCUCGUUGGGGGCAUCAUUCUUGUAGGGGUUCAUCGGCUAGAGGGACCAGUGGACGACUACAACGAUGGAGUGGCGUGGCAUCUGACAUGCCGACAACGGCGGGUCUCGGCGAUGGUCGCAUGUUGAUGGACGCGCGCAGGAUGGUGGCGCUGUCUGGCGUCGUGGUGGCUUCGACGGCAGUUGGGCUUGGCAAGGCAUAUGCAUUUAUCUCUCUUGAAGAUGGGACGGCGGAAGAUGGCGGCGGCGGACUUUUCCAUGUGUGUUGAGGGUCUGCUACACUGGUUGGUGCUCUCGGCUCAAGGCAGCCUGGGGUGGCCACCGGAUUAGAUGGUGUGUGUGGAUGCGCCAGGGCACUCCAUGAGACUUGUAGGUGUAGCGAUUGAGGUCGUCAGGAAGGUGGCUUUGGGUUGAUCCAUGCAUCUGCUUUGUCGGACCGUUGAAUAAUUAAUAAAGAUGGCUGUAUCCAUCGCUUGAUGCAGAGGCCGGGGGUAAGCCUCUUUUUCGAAGUAAAAAAACAUGCCGAUUUAUUGUAGUUUGAGUUUAGCCUAGAUUUUGUUAAGAUCACUACAGAAUUUUACGCACACACACACAGAGAGAGAGAGAGAGAGAGAGAGAGAGAGAGAGAGAGAGAGAGAGAGAGAGUGAGAGAGUGAGUGAGUGAGUGAGUGAGUGAGUGAGUGCUAGUAAGGAAAAGAAACGUGCCUCUUUGGCCAUUCGAAAGCUUUGCUUUUGGGUCUGUAUCGAACCGCUUUUAUUUGUUUUGUACUAAUUUUUGUUGCAAACGCUUUGCUUCAGUUCGCUAAAGCCGGGCAAGCGCCUCCUUUCUAAAGGUAAUUCCAAAGCAGCAGUUGUGUACUAGGAAAAUUUCGUUGGUUAGUCUACCCCCAAACUUCCGUUCCUGUCCCAUUCAGGCCACAGUUGCUAGCAGUUUUGAUGAUAUGGCACGCUACAGUUUCAUGAUGUGGCAUACCACAUUUAGAGAAAAUUGAUGAAAUGGCAUGCCGUCUCAGUAAUCAUUUUCUAUAAAUAGGCAUAACAUACGCCUGUGUGAAUGCCAGCAACUUGUGGUUCUACCAACUAUACCUUCUAUUGUUGAUCUGGUUUUGGAUGGUGCAAAUGCUUGUGCUGGAGGAAUAUGCUUUAUUUUGCAAUAAUUUAGAAAGUGUAGUGUCAUGUUACUAGGUGCUUUGCAGAAAAUCAUCACUAUAAUACAUCCAUACUGACCAAAGAUCGUGCUUUUCUGCAGGGACUUGCUGCUUUCUACAAGGGGUUUAUUGCAAACUUUUGUCGAGUUGGGUCAUGGAAUGUCAUAAUGUUCUUAACUUUGGAACAGGUUAGAAGAUUCUUUCAGUAAGGAUUAUAUAUGAACUCUGCGCUGCAAGGUUUCAUGGAACAAGCUGGGUACAGCUUCUGGAGCAACAGACAUACACAAUCAUUCAGCAUAGGAUUCAGAUUUUCAUUGUACAGGAGAAUGCAUUCUCAUGUUGUAAUUUGAUCUAUUUGAUGACUACGACUGAGCAUGUUGUAAAUUGUUAGCUUUUACCGAUGCCCGCUUUAUUGGGUUAAUAAAUUUGACACGUUAUACUUAAAAAACAUCUGCUUAUUUGUGCAAUUUAAAUAGAGAUCAUAAGAAACUUACUUUAUAAUCUCUAAA
Non-coding RNA from Triticum urartu, 2166 nucleotides. The record is from RefSeq and is a predicted model, not a curated record. NCBI's taxonomy places the organism in Eukaryota, Viridiplantae, Streptophyta, Magnoliopsida, Poales, Poaceae.